AGUGGGUUAUACAUGUACACAUGCUGGUUCUUUUCUUUUUCUUAUCAUAUUUUAUUGCUAGAGAUGUUAAUUGGGUGUUAUAUCCUUCUAAUGUUACCUCUUUGAUUGACCCAAGACUCGGAAGGAAGUAUUAUAUUGAAUACACCAUGUACACCGUAUGGUUAUCAUGUUUAUUCUUACGUCUAUAAAGUCAGUGUAGUAGAACUUUGCGGUACAAUAAUAAUUUGGAAUUAUUGUAUUGCCAGUGAUGGAUUAUGACGCGUGUUUUGUAAUACAUACAGUACUGUAAAGUGAAACGAGGUCAUUUUGUUGUGUACUUUGGUCAAAGGAAGAGAAAGAUGGAGUCCCUUAGAAAAGGAAAAGGAGACUGAUGGGAUUUCGUUUUAAAGGAACUAGAGUCUGAAGCUAACCUGAUACAUACGAGAGUUCUGCAAAGACCAACUUGCCACAUUUUGUAGGGAGAACAGCCAAGGGUGGAACGUUGCCUCCAGUAUUGUAUAUUCAAGCCGACAACUGCUGCGGGAAAACAAAAAUAAAUCGUUUUGCGAGUUACUGGUGCACAUGAAAGUAUUUCAAGAGGUUCACCUUUCUUUUCUGUAUGUUGGACACACACAUGAGGAUAUUGACGCCGGUUUCAGCAAAAUAGCAGAUUCCCUCCGUCGAAAUGACACAGAAACUAU
Mytilus trossulus (common blue mussel) is the source of this 680-nucleotide long non-coding RNA. RefSeq lists it as uncharacterized. The transcript has 4 exons. Lineage: Eukaryota; Metazoa; Mollusca; Bivalvia; Mytilida; Mytilidae. The record is from RefSeq and is a predicted model, not a curated record.